GAUGAACGCUGGCGGCGUGCCUAAUACAUGCAAGUCGAGCGAACAGACGAGGAGCUUGCUCCUCUGACGUUAGCGGCGGACGGGUGAGUAACACGUGGAUAACCUACCUAUAAGACUGGGAUAACUUCGGGAAACCGGAGCUAAUACCGGAUAAUAUAUUGAACCGCAUGGUUCAAUAGUGAAAGACGGUUUUGCUGUCACUUAUAGAUGGAUCCGCGCCGCAUUAGCUAGUUGGUAAGGUAACGGCUUACCAAGGCAACGAUGCGUAGACGACCUGACAGGGGGGUAGGCCACACUGGAGGUGAGACACGCUCCAGGCUACUGAGGGAGGCAGCAGUAGGGAAUCUGCCGCAGUGGGCGAAAGCCUGACGGAGCAACGCCGAGUGAGUGAUGAAGGCCUUCGGAUCGUAAAACUCUGUUAUUAGGGAAGAACAAAUGUGUAAGUAACUAUGCACGUCUUGACGGUACCUAAUCAGAAAGCCACGGCUAACUACGUG
RNAcentral lists this ribosomal RNA (497 nucleotides) under uncultured bacterium. Its description in RNAcentral is "partial 16S ribosomal RNA". It matches the Rfam family "Bacterial small subunit ribosomal RNA", at positions 28 to 507 of the family's 1533-position model. The record is from RNAcentral.